UACGGAGGGUGCAAGCGUUGUCCGGAUUUAUUGGGUUUAAAGGGUGCGUAGGCGGCCCGUUAAGUCAGCGGUGAAAGCCUCCAGCUCAACUGGAGAACUGCCAUUGAUACUGACGGGCUUGAGUACAGACGAGGUUGGCGGAAUUGAUUGUGUAGCGGUGAAAUGCGCAGAUAUCAGGAGGAACACCAAUGGCGAAGGCAGCACUCUGGGACGUGACUGACGCUGAGACGCGAAAGCGUGGGGAGCAAACAGG
RNAcentral lists this ribosomal RNA (253 nucleotides) under uncultured bacterium. RNAcentral's name for it is "partial 16S ribosomal RNA". It matches the Rfam family "Bacterial small subunit ribosomal RNA", at positions 524 to 776 of the family's 1533-position model. The record is from RNAcentral.